Long non-coding RNA from Cyprinodon tularosa, 384 nucleotides. RefSeq lists it as uncharacterized. Lineage: Eukaryota; Metazoa; Chordata; Actinopteri; Cyprinodontiformes; Cyprinodontidae. The record is from RefSeq and is a predicted model, not a curated record. The transcript has 3 exons.
GCUCCAACCACAGAUGGGUUUGAUGAAUUCAUGCAGUUUCCAAAGCUCAGAAGGCUGUUCAUAAAACACAACACUGCCCUGCCCUCAAGCGCUCCAGUAGAGAGGCUCUUUAGCAUCGGUGGUCUAAUAUUCAGACCGAGGAGAAACCGCCUGGGAGAUGCCAACUUUGAGAAGCAGCUGAUCUUGAAUGCCAACAAAAAGAUUUGAAGGAAGAAAAAACAGCAGAUCUACCAGGGAGAGACCACUGUGACCGAGGAUCUUCAUUCAGAUAAGGGAUUUUUGGGCUGGACAGAAAAUAACACUGUCCUUGGCCCUGCAUACUUUUCAUUUAUUAGUAUUAUUUUAGUUAUUUAUGUGGACUGUAACCAGUGACAGAUAAUCAUU